UUUCGGUUUGAAUUCGCUCGAUUUUAGUGAUAGUUCACUAUCAUUUUUUAACUGAGGACAUGGUCCUUGAUUGAGUGGAGUUGUGGAUCCCAAUUUUAAUUGAUGGCGGUGAUGGUGCCAAUCCGUCGUUCAUGUGGCUUUGCUGUAUUGGGAUUAGGACCGUGUAAAUCGUGGAUCUAUUGUGGAUGGAGCACCGCCUAAAAAUCAUGUUGAUUGGAUGAUUUGCACCAUCUGAUUACUCUUAUUGAAUUUCACCACUGACCCUCGAUGUUUUAAUGGACUUGCUUGAUUGUCUUGAGAUUUAAAAGAGUUUCGUGGUUAGUAUUUCUAUGGUUUUGUUUAAAAAGUGAUUUUUUUCUUUCAAAAAAAAAAUCUGACUUUUUUUUUUCUUCCAUAACAGAGAAAAGUUUUAGAUGAUAGGUAUAUGGUUUCGAAGGGAUUGUCGAUGAAUGAUGCAAAGAUGAAAAGUGAUUUUUAUUACAAAUAACGCAAUGUGCAUACAUAGCUGUCUAAUUUCUGCCCCACGAUGGGAUGCAAGCAUUGAAUUUUGGUUUGUUUUAUUUCUGAUGGUUGUGAGGAUACAUUUUCUUAGAUCUAUUUUAAGGAUGUCUCCUGUUCUAAACCAGAACUUAAGCUGCAAAGCUCAGCAGGUUCGCCAAUUAUUGAUCCCCAUCUCUCUCCAGAUGGAAGUAUGCUCGCUUACGUAAGAGAUGAUGAGCUGCAUGUUUUGAAUUUGUCAUAUGGCGAGCAUAAACAGUUAACAUUUAGUGCUAGAGGAAAUGCAAAGGUUAUUGAGCUUCCAAUCAAGCACCCUGAAUUGUUUGAGAGUUUUAGAAUAGCUCAGCCAAAGGUAUUUCUGACUGUGCCGCUGUACCAUGCCUUUACUCUUUUCAUGCGUCUUCCUUUUCACCAGUCAAAGGUAUUUUACUCCUCAACAAUGUGAAAAAGGAGAGCUGCUUUUUUCCAGUUCCUUAGGCAAAAGAGUGCAUUCUCUGAGUGGUGGAGAGGGCCAAUGUGCCAGUAAUUUAUCUGUCUAUAGAUGCAACUGAAAGUGAAACUGAUCUUCUACAGGCACUAACCAUGCAAAAUAGCAAGACCAUACCUCUAGUGAAAAGACCAGGUCACAGCUCCUCAAAAUGGGAUCCAUUGUUGUAAAAAGGAGAGCUUCUUUUUACUCAUUUCUUUCUAUGAACUAAAGAGUAGAUAAAAGGAAAUAAAUUAAACAAACCCAAACAAGAUUUAUAAUGAUCAAUUACUCAUAAGCAUAUAAUCAACUCAAUCCAGACUUGGGUCAAGCAGUCACUAGGUUUUUGUAGAACCUAGUGACAAAGGAGUGCUUGAAGAACUCAUUCCUGACCCAACUGAACUCCGAGUCAGAAUGUCUUGAGUCUGUGACAUGAUCUGACAUUUAUUUAUUUAUUAUCUAUGGACUCACAAAUUAGCCAUUUAGAUUUUCUCAUAACAUAAUGUGUGGAAUUUCAGAAACCUUCUCAUAACUACAUUUUUAUAUGGGUGAUUUUUGUUGGGAAGUAUCCUUGCACCUACCUGGGUUUAAGCUAUAUGUAUGCCUUUUUGUCCCCGAGGUUAAAGCCAUGCUGCAUAAGAUGAUCUGUGCCAUGGCGAAUGUGUUCAUUGGGUCAUCAGACUCGAGAUUCAUUGAGGACAUAUUCCGGCUCCGGAAGGACUAGGGAUUAGCUUUGGUUUGUGAUGAGUAUAUGUGCCAAGGCGAGCAACCUAAUUUCAUAGCUGACUCGGAAUGAAUUAAGAAGAGUGGUGGUCAUGCUUUUGGUGUGCUUUCAUUCUUUUCACAUCAUCAAUGGCUAUGAUACAUAGCUCACCAAAUAUCGACAGAAGAAACCAGUCCCUUAGAAACAAUGGCAAUCAUUGGCAAUAAGGAGAUCAUUGACAUUAACCAAGGUAUGUUAGCUACUUAGAGUGGUCUAAAAAUAAUAAUAAUAAAAUAAACUAGUAUACAUGUGGGUCA
Long non-coding RNA from Magnolia sinica, 1984 nucleotides. RefSeq lists it as uncharacterized. The record is from RefSeq and is a predicted model, not a curated record. The transcript has 3 exons. NCBI's taxonomy places the organism in Eukaryota, Viridiplantae, Streptophyta, Magnoliopsida, Magnoliales, Magnoliaceae.